UGGCUCAGAUGGUAAAGCGUCUGCCUACAAUGCGGGAGACCUGGGUUCAAUUCCCUG
RNAcentral lists this transfer RNA (57 nucleotides) under Bos taurus (domestic cattle). It matches the Rfam family "tRNA", at positions 8 to 63 of the family's 71-position model. Rfam says of the family: Transfer RNA (tRNA) molecules are approximately 80 nucleotides in length. Their secondary structure includes four short double-helical elements and three loops (D, anti-codon, and T loops). The record is from Rfam by way of RNAcentral. RNAcentral also lists the same sequence under 4 other names. Lineage: Eukaryota; Metazoa; Chordata; Mammalia; Artiodactyla; Bovidae.